Molecule: long non-coding RNA, 473 nt
Organism: Notothenia coriiceps (black rockcod)
Lineage: Eukaryota; Metazoa; Chordata; Actinopteri; Perciformes; Nototheniidae
Exons: 3
Source: RefSeq, a predicted model, not a curated record
GUCUUUUUUUUGUUUUUCUCCCUCCCUGUAUGUCAGUUCAUCCUUUGUUUGUUGUUGCCCUUUUUAUCCUCACUUAAAAAUGGCAUCCAAGCAACUGAAUGAAUGGCUAGAGAUAGGGAAUGCCCUCGCAGAUGAGUUGGCAAAUAAGAUACCAAAGAAACCAAAGAAACCAAAGAUACAGAAGAUACCAAAGAAAAUAACGCAAGGAUCAAAUGUUUCCUGGAGGAAGAGGGACCUGGAUGGGAACAUUAUAGCCCAACAUUGGAAUAAGAAUCGAUCUGUUAAACCUUCCAGCUCUCAGGAGUCCCCAGAGGUCGAGGAGACACAUGAGAUUCCUCUACAGGUCCCAAGUCUUGGUAUGCACAAUGAAUUCUUAAAUUAUCCUUCAACUUGAAAUGUAGGUCAUUGUUUGUAGUAUGUAAUAGCUUUGUUCAUGAUACAUUGUAAAGUGAAAAGCCAUGUAUGGAAUAUCU